Molecule: long non-coding RNA, 5013 nt
Filed under: Sus scrofa (pig)
Lineage: Eukaryota; Metazoa; Chordata; Mammalia; Artiodactyla; Suidae
Description: lncRNA (ENSSSCG00065047630.1)
Source: RNAcentral
UUUUUUUUUUAAUUUUAUGGCAGUGCCCACAGCAUGCAGAAGUUCUGAGGCUAGGGGUCAAACCCAUACCAUAGCAGUGGCAAUGCUGGACCUUAACCCACUGACCCACCAGGGAACUCUCCUUUAGCAUUCUAUGAAAACUUUCUUUGUGCUUCUUAGUUGGACAAUCUUUUGCACAAGUGUUUAUGUUAAUGUGUUGAUUUAAAUCUUGACAAACACUUAGACAUAAAUGGAAAUAGUGUACUCCAAUAUAAAGAGAAUUAGGGCACAAAUUUUAUGAUAUUUUUAAUUUUUUCCCUGGGGCAAUAUUACAAAACGAGUCCAUUUACUGUCCCCAGUUAUUAAGCAGAUAUGGAUAUAGCAACCAUCAGAGAAGAAAGGAACAUCUUUGUAACAUCUCACAUAUGUUUUUGUGGAUACAGAAUAAAAUGUCUUCCCCUGAUAAUUAGAAAUAGUUCAUAAAAUCAGUUGGUCUGUGUGUAUCACAUAAAGGCAAUAAAAAAACUACAGUUUGCUGGUUGGAAGCAAAUUGUAAGAUGUUUGAUGUCUUGACAGUGGUGUGUAAUCAGUAAAUAAGAAAGUCAUUAGUUGUCUGUGUUGUGUAACAAGUGACCAGAAACUUAGAAGUUUAAAAUAAUACACAUUCAUCCUCUCACAGUUUCAGUGGUAUAGAUGUCUAGGCAUAGGUUAAAAAGGGUUAUAUGUUUAGGGUGCCCAAUAUUGUGAUUUAUUAAAAAUAUGUUUUUUCAUCAUUCAUAAGACUGAAAUAUAUUUUCCAGGUAUAUUCGGUCUUAGUCCAUAGUUUCUGACUCCCAGCUCCCAGAACCUUGUGAUUUCCUAGUGUUGAGAGUGAUAAAGUGUCUUUGGUUAUGUUAACUAGGUGACUUUUGGACACUCCUAAGGAUAGGGCUUGGUAACCAGUGGAGCCAAUCACAUGAUGAACAUACCUGGGAGAGGGAAUGGGAGUAGAGAUUAAGUUGAAUCUCCAGUUGUCAAUGAUUUAACCAGUCAUGUGUAUGGAUAAAAUCUCCAUAAAAAUAAACCUAAGAAUAAGGGUUUCUGAGAGCUUCUGGGUUGUGAGCAUGUGGAGUUGCUGGGACAGUGAUGCACCUGGAGAGGGGAUGGGAGCUCCCAGCCCUUUCUCUCUGUCUCACCCAUGCAUUUCUUCCAUGGCUUUUUCUGAGUUAUAUCAUUUUAUAAACCUCUGAUAUAAUAAGUAAAAUGUUUCUCUGAGUGCUGUGAACUGUUCUAGCAAAUUAACCAAGCCCAAAAUGAGGACUAUGGGAAUCUCUGAUUUAUAGCUGAUUGGUCAGAAGUACAGGUAACAACCUGGGCUUGUGAGUAGCAUGUGAAAGGAUGGCAUAGGGGAAGUGACAGUUUUGCAGGACUAAUCCUUAACCUGUGGAAUCUGAUGCUGUCUCCUAGUAGAUAGUGUCAGAAUUGAGUUGAAUUCUUGGACACUAACCUGGUGUCCCAUGAAUUGCUUGGUACUGGAUGGGAAGCCCACUCCCUGCCACACACAUCCCACAUUGGGAUAGGUUUCCGUAAACUCAUUGAGGUCUCACAAGUCUGCAGUCAAGGUGGGAGCCAGGGCUGAGUUCUCAUCAGAACUUCUCAUCAGACUCAAUAAGUGUCAUUGCAAAUUUCCUUUAGGUUGUUUGCAGAAUUCAUUUCCUUAUGGCAAUAGUAUUCCAGCAACUUGUUUCUUCAAAGCCCACAAGAGAAAGAGACUAGAGCAAGCCACGUAUCAAGACAAGAGUCUAAUCUAAUGUAAUGUAAUCAAUGCAGUGGCAUCCCAUUGCCUUUGACAUGUUCUACUGGUUGAAAAUAAGCCACCAGUCCUACCCACAGUAAAGGCAAGGGAAUUAUACAAGGGCACCAAGAGGUGGAAGCAUGGGGCCACUUUAAAUUCUGAUCUCCACUGGGGAGGAAAACAGACAUAAGGAAAAACAUAUAAUCACAGCACCUUAGUGCAUGUAUCCAAUUAAAGACUUUGUAUAAUUUCUAGAAGAAAUAUACCAUUAAUGAUCCAAAUGACGGUUGUACACUGUGGCUGAUUCUGUAUUAGGACCACACUUUUUGUGAGUAUCCUUUUAUGUAUAAGGAAGUGCAGGUGUAUACUGAGAAGAAAGAAUUUCAGGAAGGUAAGAUGACAUCCCUCAGGUGGAUUCUGAAGCUCUAAUUUUGAUAAAUUAAUCUACCUUUAAAAGGCUUUAAUUCUCUCUAAUACAUCUUGAGAAAGGAGUACUAUCUUAAACUGUUAAUAUUCUUUUAUAUCGUAAUAUAAUGGGGGAUUUGAUUAACCGGCUCCAGCAGAGAGCGAGCCAGUAAGACAGCAUGAGACAUGAGAAAGAGGACAAGAGGGAAAAACAGGAGUUUGAAAACAUCAUAAUUUUGCAGGGCUUUCCAUAUCUUUUCAUAGUAGAUUAUUAUGUACAGACAGUUAUUUCUCAUUAUAUUUAAUCAAAAUUCCAAGCCAUAUAAGAAUAUAAUUAUAACUUAGUAUAUACAUUUAUUUACAUGGCAAAUGAAUCUAAUGGUGGAGAGGGAACAUAAUGUGGAGAGACAAGCAUAUUAUCAGACACUGUGAUUGAAGUACAUGAGGUAAACUCCAUCUCUACUAGAAAUCUCACUGGGGACAAUAGGAAAAAAGAGGCAAGGCAGAGAAUCAAGAAAGGCUUCAAAAGAUGAGGGCAUGGAGAAUAGGCUGGCUGAUCAUCCAGGAGGAUGCAAAGCAAGUGAGCAAGGACUAACUUAACACUUGUAUCGGUUCUUAUGGACUGGGAGAGAUCCCGGCUCUAAGUAAGUCCUAAGCUCUCAACAGGCAUUGUUUUGGGCACCAUAGAGGAAAAUUCAGCAGGUUUCUAGUGACAGAAUGAUGCUAAACUUUUCAAUGGUUAGGCAAUGGAAACCUUUAUUUAGAGGCAGAUCCUGGAAAGAGUGGAAUUUUAUGAGAACUCCAUUAUACUGCUCACCAGCUUCUUAAAUACUUUCAGGCAAUGUCAGAAAAGCAUGUGAAAUAUUUUUGACCAGUCAACAUAACUUGAACACCAUUCAUUUCAGCAAUAUAAAGUUACUUCUAACACUCUGAUGCUAAUUAUUAUACCCUCCAGUAUUAGUUUACAGGACAAUAGUUGAAUGGCUAGUAUGGCUAGAUCUGGAGUUUGGUCUCCAAACAAUGUAACAGUUAUUCAUAAAGGUAGCAGAGCUCGCUUAUAUGGUCUUGCAUUUUCUCUGAGAAAAAUUUUAAAAUCUGGAUUUAAAAAGACUAUAGAAAAUAUUUAUUGCUUAAUACAAUGUAUAUAUUCUCAGUAGAAAAUAAAGUCAAAAUAAUAAUUAGUUCUUAUCCCUGGAGACGGUUAUUUUCCACAAUGAGAUUUGGCAGAAAGAGACUCUUGAAGUUAUUAGAAUCUUUGUCUCAAUAAAUAUAAGGCAAAUUCACAAAGUUUUUCCAAGUUCUAAUUGACUUAUUCCAUAUGAAAAAAAAAAUAAAAUGAAUUUAGCAUAAAUUAUAUUUUAUAUAUAUAUAUAUACACACACACAUAUAUAUACUGUACAUUAAAAAUAUUAUGGGAAUAGGAACUACACUUAUAAAACAAUAAUUUUGUUUUUAACCAACUCACGAUGUAGUUUUGUCAAACUUUAAAAUUUCUGAACCAAGUGUUAUUUCCCUUUGAGCCAGUUGGCCAAACAAGGCACAUCCCCUGAUCUUGGAGGUUGAUUGUUUUGUCCACUGAAUUGAGAAUCUGAUUUCCUCAUUUGAUUAAAUAAGUUAAACCUAUCAAAAGUAGGGAGUCAUUUUUCAACUUUUAAAAUCUUAACCAGCAGCAUUUUACUGUUAAAUCAUGAAAUUGUUUACCUUAAUUGUACCCAUUAAGGUGUUUUAGGAAAACUCCAAAGCCAGAAAGGAGGACUUAGUUUAUUUCCUGUUUUAUUUUCUUUAUCCCAUGCCAUACUUAACUGCCAUUGUCAUUACUGACAUAGUUCUGCUGGGAAUUUAGCCAUGCAGGGAGCAAUAAAUCUGUUAUUUGAAAAGAUUCUUUGGAAGGAAACAUGAAGAAUUUUGUAAAUUUAUUGGGACAGCAUAAAGUGAAUAACAUCUUAAAAUACUUGGGAAAGGACCAAGUUAUAUUACUAAAGGGGAAAGAGAGAACAAGAAUGAGCCUUGAGUAAGCAGAGAACAUCAUAAAUCAUAUAGGAUAGCUCUGUGCUUUUAUUCCUGAGUCCAUAUGUUCUACUCAAAGAAAAACAAUGUGGAACAAUUUAGCAUUAUUUUGCACAGCUCGAGGAGGGCCUGAGAAUUCCCUAUAACAGCUAAGUAACAUCAUUUAUAACUUUAAUAUCAAUACCUUUGGGUUUGUUUCUAAGUUUUGCUCAGCUCUAUCUAAAAACAAAUUUAUUUUCAACUUUUUUAAGAAAUAUUCUAACUUUGAGGAUCAGGAACAAGGAAUAGCAAAAUGUUGCAUCCAUCAGAAAUCAAUUUUUUUUAAAACAUCUUUUUUCAAUAAACUGCAAAGAUCUUGUGAACCAAGAAUGUAAAAUUUGUAUUUUGCUGUAUUCCUCUACUGUUAUCUUGUGUAUAUAGCAUAUAUAAUUGAUUAUAAAUUGAAUAUUUGAUAUUUAUCAUUGACAUAUUGUAUAUUCAUAUAUAAAACAUAUGUAUCUUUAAGAAUAUUGGUAACAUUUCUUUUAAUAACAUAAAGUAAGUAAUAUUAUAAAAAUGAUGGGUACCCUGGGGUAAAAGUGUAGAGCAAGGAGAAGGGAAUUGAGGACUUUGGGGGAGAGGGCAAUAAGUUGCAAUCUUCUAAAAGGGCACAUGCAUGCGUUUAUUAUUCAGGGUCUGGUUGUUAGUGGAAGUCCUAUGCACAGUGAGGCCAAACAAACCAAAACACUGGUGUUUGGAGCAGUGAAAGGUUUAUGGCAGGGCCAUGCAAGGAGAUAGUUGGUUGUGCCCCUAAAAUAUCCCCACUCCCCUAACCAAAAUUGCAAAGCCUCUUUUAAAGGUAAGGUGAG